UGGGGAAUUUUGGACAAUGGGCGAAAGCCUGAUCCAGCAAUGCCGCGUGUGUGAAGAAGGCCUUCGGGUUGUAAAGCACUUUUGUCCGGAAAGAAAUCCUUGGCUCUAAUACAGUCGGGGGAUGACGGUACCGGAAGAAUAAGCACCGGCUAACUACGUGCCAGCAGCCGCGGUAAUACGUAGGGUGCAAGCGUUAAUCGGAAUUACUGGGCGUAAAGCGUGCGCAGGCGGUUUGCUAAGACCGAUGUGAAAUCCCCGGGCUCAACCUGGGAACUGCAUUGGUGACUGGCAGGCUAGAGUAUGGCAGAGGGGGGUAGAAUUCCACGUGUAGCAGUGAAAUGCGUAGAGAUGUGGAGGAAUACCGAUGGCGAAGGCAGCCCCCUGGGCCAAUACUGACGCUCAUGCACGAAAGCGUGGGGAGCAAACAGGAUUAGAUACCCUGGUAGUCCCACGCCCUAAACCGAUGUCAACUAGUUGUUGGGGAUUCAUUUCCUUAGUAACGUAGCUAACGCGUGAAGUUGACCGCCUGGGGAGUACGGUCGCAAGAUUAAAACUC
RNAcentral lists this ribosomal RNA (556 nucleotides) under uncultured bacterium. Its description in RNAcentral is "partial 16S ribosomal RNA". It matches the Rfam family "Bacterial small subunit ribosomal RNA", at positions 355 to 902 of the family's 1533-position model. The record is from RNAcentral.